Molecule: unclassified non-coding RNA, 390 nt
Filed under: fungal sp.
Lineage: Eukaryota; Fungi
Description: partial internal transcribed spacer region
Rfam family: Eukaryotic small subunit ribosomal RNA (bases 1-46)
Source: RNAcentral
AAGUCGUAACAAGGUUUCCGUAGGUGAACCUGCGGAAGGAUCAUUAACACGUAUCCAACGUUAAACCCCCCGUGCACACAGCGACCUGCUCCCCUCAAUUUCGGUCUUUUGGCAAUCCCUGGUAAAUCAUCGCCGAACAGUUUUGAUUCAGGGACAUCCAAAGGGCCGGGGUAGGGUAUUAAAGUAGUAGUCAAUGCAAAGCAACCUGGUUUCUUUGAAGCAGAAAGUGUGAUGGCGUGAGCCGGAGAACGGACCGAGUGGUAGUUCAAAGACCGGGUUCCUGGUCCUAGACCCCAUAUUCACCACCACAGUCGCAGACGAGGUAGGGAUACGUCCCUACCACCAAAUAAAUACUUGAAACAACUGUUAACAAUGGAUAUCUUGGUUCUC